UUAACACAUGCAAGUCGAGGGGUAUGGUUCUUCGGAACCAGAGACCGGCGCACGGGUGCGUAACGCGUAUGCAAUCUGCCUUUUACAGAGGGAUAGCCCAGAGAAAUUUGGAUUAAUACCUCAUAGUAUAGUACAGCCGCAUGGCUGAACUAUUAAAGUCACAACGGUAAAAGAUGAGCAUGCGUCCCAUUAGCUAGUUGGUAAGGUAACGGCUUACCAAGGCGACGAUGGGUAGGGGUCCUGAGAGGGAGAUCCCCCACACUGGUACUGAGACACGGACCAGACUCCUACGGGAGGCAGCAGUGGGGAAUUUUGGACAAUGGGGGCAACCCUGAUCCAGCCAUGCCACGUGAGUGAAGAAGGCCUUCGGGUUGUUAAGCUCUUUCGGUGGGAACGAAACGGUGGAGGACAACACCCCCCACUACUGACGGUACUCACAAAAGAAGCACCGGCUAACUACGUGCCAGCAGCCGCGGUAAUACGUAGGGUGCGAGCGUUAAUCGGAAUCACUGGGCGUAAAGGGCGCGUAGGCGGCCUGAUAAGUAGGGGGUGAAAUCCUGCGGCUUAACCGCAGGGCUGCCUUCUAAACUGUCGGGCUCGAGCACAGUAGAGGCAGGUGGAAUUCCCGGUGUAGCGGUGGAAUGCGUAGAGAUCGGGAAGAACAUCAGUGGCGAAGGCGGCCUGCUGGG
This 689-nucleotide ribosomal RNA is filed under the name uncultured soil bacterium. RNAcentral describes it as "bacterial SSU rRNA". It matches the Rfam family "Bacterial small subunit ribosomal RNA", at positions 48 to 733 of the family's 1533-position model. The record is from RNAcentral.